Molecule: ribosomal RNA, 443 nt
Filed under: uncultured bacterium
Lineage: Bacteria
Description: partial 16S ribosomal RNA
Rfam family: Bacterial small subunit ribosomal RNA
Source: RNAcentral
CCUACGGGGGGCAGCAGUGGGGAAUAUUGGACAAUGGGGGGAACCCUGAUCCAGCGACGCCGCGUGAGUGAAGAAGUAUUUCGGUAUGUAAAGCUCUAUCAGCAGGGAAGAAAGAAAUGACGGUACCUGACUAAGAAGCCCCGGCUAACUACGUGCCAGCAGCCGCGGUAAUACGUAGGGGGCAAGCGUUAUCCGGAUUUACUGGGUGUAAAGGGAGCGUAGACGGCGAUGCAAGUCUGAAGUGAAAGGCGGGGGCCCAACCCCUGGACUGCUUUGGAAACUGGAUGGCUGGAGUGCAGGGGAGGUAAGUGGAAUUCCUAGUGUAGCGGUGAAAUGCGUAGAUAUUAGGAGGAACACCAGUGGCGAAGGCGGCUUACUGGACUGUAACUGACGUUGAGGCUCGAAAGCGUGGGGAGCAAACAGGAUUAGAUACCCGUGUAGUC